Long non-coding RNA from Mauremys reevesii (Reeves's turtle), 168 nucleotides. RefSeq lists it as uncharacterized. The transcript has 3 exons. NCBI's taxonomy places the organism in Eukaryota, Metazoa, Chordata, Testudines, Geoemydidae. The record is from RefSeq and is a predicted model, not a curated record.
GAAGCUGGAUGAGGAGAUUGUGAGGAUCCAGAAUGAAAAUGUCAGUAAACUCUCCAAGCAGAUUUCCCAUCUCAGUGAGCUGCUCAAUGAGAUGGAGGGGAAGUGUCAGAAGCCAGCGAGUGAAUUCCUACAGGACGUCAGAACCACCUUGAGCAGGUGUGAGAAGGG